GACGAACGCUGGCGGUGUGCUUAACACAUGCAAGUCGAACGGAAAGGCCCUGCUUUUGUGGGGUGCUCGAGUGGCGAACGGGUGAGUAACACGUGAGUAACCUGCCCUUGACUUUGGGAUAACUUCAGGAAACUGGGGCUAAUACCGGAUAGGAGCUCCUGCUGCAUGGUGGGGGUUGGAAAGUUUCGGCGGUUGGGGAUGGACUCGCGGCUUAUCAGCUUGUUGGUGGGGUAGUGGCUUACCAAGGCUUUGACGGGUAGCCGGCCUGAGAGGGUGACCGGCCACAUUGGGACUGAGAUACGGCCCAGACUCCUACGGGAGGCAGUAGUGGGGAAUAUUGCACAAUGGGCGGAAGCCUGAUGCAGCAACGCCGCGUGCGGGAUGACGGCCUUCGGGUUGUAAACCGCUUUCGCCUGUGACGAAGCGUGAGUGACGGUAAUGGGUAAAGAAGCACCGGCUAACUACGUG
This 468-nucleotide ribosomal RNA is filed under the name uncultured bacterium. Its description in RNAcentral is "partial 16S ribosomal RNA". It matches the Rfam family "Bacterial small subunit ribosomal RNA", at positions 28 to 507 of the family's 1533-position model. The record is from RNAcentral.